UCAAAUCAUAGUGGCUACAUGAUGGCUC
RNAcentral lists this non-coding RNA (28 nucleotides) under Mus musculus (house mouse). The record is from RNAcentral. Lineage: Eukaryota; Metazoa; Chordata; Mammalia; Rodentia; Muridae.